UCUAAGUUUUAGGUUUAACUCGACCACGACCGUACAAGACGGCGGACAUUGAUACCUGAAGUCUGUUGGCGUGCCCUUGCCUAUGGGCUGGAAGACAGAAACUACAGGGUCGCUUGUCGAUCUUCCUUCCCAAAAGAAUAGGACUAGAUCACAAGCAUGCUAACGACGCGACGAUGGCUCCAUACUGUUAUAGAUUUAGUAUCGGAAUGGAUUUUAAAACUUCAGCCACGUCCCAGCAUCUUGUUUCGGGCCCGCUUGAAAUCCAUACGAGAAUCAUACCAGUGUCGCACCCGCAUACAAAGCCUUCUCUAUUGCAUUUGAACCUGGGCUGAACUACCAAAAAUCCCACACAAAGCCUCUGCCUCUUGUCUUAUGCGAGAUCCCAGCAUCCAUCAAUGCUUUGGGUUCUUGUGGGCGCCAGACCAUUUAAACCACCAAAGGCCCACUUGAUUUGUUCACUCCACACUCACAUUAUAGGCCUAAUCCAUGCUCUCCAACUCCUGUUGCGCCCAUC
This 514-nucleotide long non-coding RNA is filed under the name Elaeis guineensis (African oil palm). Its description in RNAcentral is "long non-coding RNA (EGUI_LNC034214)". Lineage: Eukaryota; Viridiplantae; Streptophyta; Magnoliopsida; Arecales; Arecaceae. The record is from RNAcentral.